AAGUGGCAGGCAGGCAGGCUGGCCCCGGGGACUUCUCUCUGGCCCUGCUCCCUCCGAGCGUUCCGCCGUUGCCCGCCUGGCCCCUACGGCAGGGGCGGGCAGAGGGCGGGGCUGCUGCCAGAUCUAGUCAGACAGGUGGAGCCGCCGGGGCAGGAGUCUCAAAGAGACAGGCUCCAGGAGAGGAAGGGCUCUGCGAGAGGAGAGAGGAGAGCGCUGGAGAGGAGAGGCUGGAGAGUCCUUAGCCAGGAUGGAGGCUGUUGUGAACUUGUACCAAGAGGUGAUGAAGCACGCAGAUCCCCGGAUCCAGGGCUACCCUCUGAUGGGGUCCCCCUUGCUAAUGACCUCCAUUCUCCUGACCUACGUGUACUUCGUUCUCUCACUUGGGCCUCGCAUCAUGGCUAAUCGGAAGCCCUUCCAGCUCCGUGGCUUCAUGAUUGUCUACAACUUCUCACUGGUGGCACUCUCCCUCUACAUUGUCUAUGAGUUCCUGAUGUCGGGCUGGCUGAGCACCUAUACCUGGCGCUGUGACCCUGUGGACUAUUCCAACAGCCCUGAGGCACUUAGGAUGGUUCGGGUGGCCUGGCUCUUCCUCUUCUCCAAGUUCAUUGAGCUGAUGGACACAGUGAUCUUUAUUCUCCGAAAGAAAGACGGGCAGGUGACCUUCCUACAUGUCUUCCAUCACUCUGUGCUUCCCUGGAGCUGGUGGUGGGGGGUAAAGAUUGCCCC
Molecule: small RNA, 726 nt
Filed under: Pan troglodytes (chimpanzee)
Lineage: Eukaryota; Metazoa; Chordata; Mammalia; Primates; Hominidae
Description: processed transcript
Source: RNAcentral